RNAcentral lists this transfer RNA (73 nucleotides) under Dipodomys ordii (Ord's kangaroo rat). It matches the Rfam family "tRNA". From Rfam's summary of the family: Transfer RNA (tRNA) molecules are approximately 80 nucleotides in length. Their secondary structure includes four short double-helical elements and three loops (D, anti-codon, and T loops). Lineage: Eukaryota; Metazoa; Chordata; Mammalia; Rodentia; Heteromyidae. The record is from Rfam by way of RNAcentral.
GGCUGUGUGGCUCAGUGGUAAAGCGCUUGUCUAGUAUCCAUGAGGCACUUAGUUCAGUCCCUUAGCACUGCCA